UAAAACNCCAAGUGCCAGCAACUCAUUAC
This 29-nucleotide non-coding RNA is filed under the name Mus musculus (house mouse). Lineage: Eukaryota; Metazoa; Chordata; Mammalia; Rodentia; Muridae. The record is from RNAcentral.